GCUCAACCGGGGAGGGUCAUUGGAAACUGGGGAACUUGAGUGCAGAAGAGGAGAGUGGAAUUCCACGUGUAGCGGUGAAAUGCGUAGAGAUGUGGAGGAACACCAGUGGCGAAGGCGACUCUCUGGUCUGUAACUGACGCUGAGGCGCGAAAGCGUGGGGAGCGAACAGGAUUAGAUACCCUGGUAGUCCACGCCGUAAACGAUGAGUGCUAAGUGUUAGAGGGUUUCCGCCCUUUAGUGCUGCAGCAAACGCAUUAAGCACUCCGCCUGGGGAGUACGGUCGCAAGACUGAAACUCAAAGGAAUUGACGGGGGCCCGCACAAGCGGUGGAGCAUGUGGUUUAAUUCGAAGCAACGCGAAGAACCUUACCAGGUCUUGACAUCCUCUGACAACCCUAGAGAUAGGGCUUCCCCUUCGGGGGCAGAGUGACAGGUGGUGCAUGGUUGUCGUCAGCUCGUGUCGUGAGAUGUCGGGUUAAGUCCCGCAACGAGCGCAACCCUUGAUCUUAGUUGCCAGCAUUCAGUUGGGCACUCUAAGGUGACUGCCGGUGACAAACCGGAGGAAGGUGGGGAUGACGUCAAAUUAUCAUGCCCCUUAUGACCUGGGCUACACACGUGCUACAAUGGGCAGAACAAAG
RNAcentral lists this ribosomal RNA (637 nucleotides) under uncultured bacterium. Its description in RNAcentral is "bacterial SSU rRNA". It matches the Rfam family "Bacterial small subunit ribosomal RNA", at positions 607 to 1244 of the family's 1533-position model. The record is from RNAcentral.